UUAAGAACUAAAUUUCAUGAAACAUGGAACAGAAUGAAAAUCUAUAACAAACACUUAAGUGGAAUGACUCCUACCAUACUUCCAAAUGUGAAACACUUUAUUCAUUCUGCCUCCAAAUUCUACACUCCAACAUCCAACCAAUUCAGAGUGAGCUGUCCGAAGAUGCAUGUUUUUCUUGAUGUUUUCCAGGAACUCAUUCAUCUUCGAGGGUUUAAGUGAAUAGGUAUGAAACUCAUAGAAUGUUCCAUCAUUUUGUCUGGGGCCUGUAGCAAAAGAUGAGCAUACCUGAAGAAAGAUAAGACAAAUUUAAAGAUUUUAGAGAGAGAGAAUUUAUUAUGUUAUAACCAAAUCUAUGUUUGUACUUGUCAAUUCUCUAUAGACUUUUUGUUAUGCAGAGAUUAAAGAUAAAAAUCAUUUUUUG
Molecule: long non-coding RNA, 421 nt
Filed under: Marmota monax (woodchuck)
Lineage: Eukaryota; Metazoa; Chordata; Mammalia; Rodentia; Sciuridae
Source: RNAcentral